AGCAGCCGCGGUAAUUCCAGCUCCAAUAGCGUAUAUUAAAGUUGUUGCAGUUAAAAAGCUCGUAGUUGAACUUCGGGGUUUACCCAUUGGUCAGGCUUAAUUGUCUGUACUGGUGAGAUGAAUCUCUACCUUCUGAGGAACUUUCAUGCCAUUUAUUUGGUGUGAUGGGAAAUCAGGACUGUUACUUUGAAAAAUUAGAGUGUUUAAAGCAGGCUAAAGUCUGAAUACAUUAGCAUGGAAUAAUGAAAUAGGACGGACUGAUUCUAUUUCGUUGGUUUCUAGGAUCACCGUAAUGAUUAAUAGGGAUAGUUGGGGGCAUUAGUAUUCAAUUGUCAGAGGUGAAAUUCUUGGAUUUAUUGAAGACUAACUACUGCGAAAGCAUUUGCCAAGGAUGUUUUCAUUAAUCAAGAACGAAAGUUAGGGGAUCGAAGACGAUCAGAUACCGUCGUAGUCUUAACCAUAAACUAUGCCGAC
This 474-nucleotide ribosomal RNA is filed under the name uncultured Diversispora. RNAcentral describes it as "SSU rRNA". It matches the Rfam family "Eukaryotic small subunit ribosomal RNA", at positions 569 to 1046 of the family's 1831-position model. Lineage: Eukaryota; Fungi; Glomeromycota; Glomeromycetes; Diversisporales; Diversisporaceae. The record is from RNAcentral.